UGCUGAGUGCCCAGCCUGAGCAGGCAGGCAAAGAGCUGGGCACGGGGCCCCGAUACCACAGCCACCAGUGGCACCAUCUUCAGGCAGGAUCAGUCUGGAAGGGAAGAGACAGGGCUACGAGUGCCAAGGUAGAAACCAUCAUGGGACUGAAGCGUUUUCUUCCCAGGAGGAACGGAGGCCAGCAUCUGGCCCACUCCCACUGGUCCCCAUCAUCUCUCAGGACCACUUUCCCCACUGGCUAUGGUCCCAAGGCCUCCUGAGAGCACCCAAUUGAUCUGAGAAGCAACCUAGAGCUGUACGAAGGGGACUUGGAGGCCCACGAUUUUUUUUAGAUUGAAGAGAAGAAGAAAUCACCAAGUAAGAUAUGGAUGUUUCAUACAGAAGGAAGAAGAUAUUUCAUGGUGCAUACCCAGUCAUCGCAUCCUGCCUUUCUUUCUUAAUGUCCACAGAAUGAUAGAAUCACAGCGCAAAAAUUCUCACUUUCCAGAAAAUAAAAAUCAUGUUUUCAUGGUCCUGACACUAUAUCUAUCCCCAUGGAAAAAGCCCCAUAGAAAGAACC
Macaca mulatta (Rhesus monkey) is the source of this 559-nucleotide non-coding RNA. NCBI's taxonomy places the organism in Eukaryota, Metazoa, Chordata, Mammalia, Primates, Cercopithecidae. The record is from RefSeq and is a predicted model, not a curated record.